AAAUUGUGAGCACUUGCCGAGUUGCAAGCGAGGUGGUUGUGAGCAAUUCGGCAUAGCGGCAAACGGGUGCGUAACGCGUGAGUAAUUUACCUCUAUGUCGAGGAUAGCUUCGCGAAAGCGGAGGUAAUACUUGAUGUGUCCAGACCUCCAUAAGGAGGACUGGGUAAAGAUUUCGCAAGAAGUCGUGUAGAGAUGAGCUCGCGUCCUAUCAGCUAGUUGGUAGGGUAACGGCCUACCAAGGCUUUUGACGGGUAGCUGGCCUGAGAGGGUGGUCAGCCACACGGGGACUGAGACACUGCCCCGACUCCUACGGGAGGCUGCAGUCGAGAAUCUUUAGCAAUGGACGAAAGUCUGACUAUGCGACGCCGCGUGAGGGAUGAAGGUUUUCGGAUCGUAAACCUCUUUCGAUGGAGAAGAAGCUCCGACGUAAGUCGGAGUUGACGGUAUCCAGAGAAGAAGCCACGGCCAACUCCGUGCCAGCAGCCGCGGUAAUACGGAGGUGGCGAGCGUUACUCGGAAUUAUUGGGUGUAAAGGGCAGGUAGGCGGCCAUGUAAGUUGGGGGUGAAAUCCUUUGACUCAAUCAAAGAACUGCCUUCAAAACUGCAUGGCUUGAG
This 615-nucleotide ribosomal RNA is filed under the name uncultured bacterium. RNAcentral's name for it is "bacterial SSU rRNA". It matches the Rfam family "Bacterial small subunit ribosomal RNA", at positions 59 to 646 of the family's 1533-position model. The record is from RNAcentral.